Molecule: ribosomal RNA, 426 nt
Filed under: uncultured bacterium
Lineage: Bacteria
Description: bacterial SSU rRNA
Rfam family: Bacterial small subunit ribosomal RNA
Source: RNAcentral
GUGAGGAAUUUUCCGCAAUGGGCGAAAGCCUGACGGAGCAAUGCCGCGUGAAGGAUGAAGGCCUAUGGGUUGUAAACUUCCUUUCUCAGAAAAGAAUUAUGACGGUAUCUGAGGAAUAAGCAUCGGCUAACUCUGUGCCAGCAGCCGCGGUAAGACAGAGGAUGCAAGCGUUAUCCGGAAUGAUUGGGCGUAAAGCGUCUGUAGGUUGUUUAAAAAGUAUUCUGUCAAAGAUUAGGGCUUAACCCUAGAUAGGCAGAAUAAACUUUUAAGCUAGAGUUUGGUAGAGGCAGAGGGAAUUCCCGGUGGAGCGGUGAAAUGCGUAGAUAUCGGGAGGAACACCAAAGGCGAAGGCACUCUGCUGGGCCAAUACUAACACUGAGAGACGAAAGCGAGGGGAGCAAAUGGGAUUAGAUACCCCAGUAGUCC